GUGUUAUCUGCUUAAGGACCCCCAAUAAUUUCAAAUCCGAGUCGAUCUACACCACGCGCUUGUCUCUGCGGAAAUCGAAACCCUUCAACUUCUACCAUGGACAUGUGAAGGUCCUCGAUCUGGAAGCUUAACAAUGACAA
Malus domestica (apple) is the source of this 140-nucleotide non-coding RNA. The record is from RefSeq and is a predicted model, not a curated record. NCBI's taxonomy places the organism in Eukaryota, Viridiplantae, Streptophyta, Magnoliopsida, Rosales, Rosaceae.